RNAcentral lists this unclassified non-coding RNA (330 nucleotides) under soil metagenome. RNAcentral describes it as "partial contains 5.8S ribosomal RNA, internal transcribed spacer 2, and large subunit ribosomal RNA". The stretch from base 1 to 120 matches the Rfam family "5.8S ribosomal RNA", at positions 35 to 154 of the family's 154-position model. The record is from RNAcentral.
GAUGAAGAACGUAGCGAAAUGCGAUAAGUAAUGUGAAUUGCAGAAUUCAGUGAAUCAUCGAAUCUUUGAACGCACAUUGCGCCCUCUGGUAUUCCGGGGGGCAUGCCUGUUCGAGCGUCGUUACAACCCUCAAGCUCUGCUUGGUAUUGGGCUCUGCCGGUCCUGGCAGGCCUCAAAGUCAGUGGCGGUGCCAUCCGGCUCCAAGCGUAGUAAUUCUUCUCGCUUCGGAGGCCGCGGUGCGUGCUAGCCAGCAACCCCCAAUUUUUUUCAGGUUGACCUCGGAUCAGGUAGGGAUACCCGCUGAACUUAAGCAUAUCAAUAAGCGGAGGA